GAAUAUGACUACUUACACCCAUUUGCUGUUGCAUUUCAGCAAUUCUACGUGCUCUUAUUGCUUCAAGCUCACUGUCACCCAUCUUUGAUUCCAGUAAUACAGAUUUUAUAUUAACAAAAAAUUGAUAUUAGUUCGACUUUCGACUGGCAGUCCGCAUGAGCUGUUGAGUUGAAUCGGAAUUGAUUGGAAAUUGUCUUACAGCCUUACAGGAUAAGGAAAAGUUAUUUAUUUUACCAGUUAGUAAUACAGAGACAAGGCGACCAGAAGAGGAAAGCAGAAAGAGGCUAAUUUUGUGAAGAAACUUUGGUAAUUUCAUUAAAGUUCCCUCUGAAAUUGUUGCAGUGAACUGGGUAUUCAGUCCCACCUUAUUCCAUUCGUGUUAGCUGUGCAGAUGUUGUUAGCACUUGUGAGACUGUGACUAAGGAGGAAUUACGACGAGACAGAAUAAGAAGAGGAUAUUUGCGAUCCAUUUAAUCUAGUGAGCUAAGUACUGCACUAACAGAAAAUGGCACUUGGGUUUUUGGCUGGCUUUGCAUCUGGGACUCUUUUUGGUGUAUAUCUUUCCCAGCAUUAUGAUAUUCCAGAUGUAGCCAACUUGCUGGCAACAUUCAAAGAAGCUUCCAAGAAAUAUGAGAAGAAGGACGACAAGAAAGAUUCAUAACCAUGAUUCUUUAAAGAUUCCAGGAUAUUUGUAAUGUGGUGGUGAUGGCUUAUCCAUUGGACCUAUUCUCAUCAUCCUUGGGCCACCUUGAAAGACCUCUAUUCUUGUAAUUCCAUAUAAAAA
Strongylocentrotus purpuratus (purple sea urchin) is the source of this 784-nucleotide long non-coding RNA. RefSeq lists it as uncharacterized. The record is from RefSeq and is a predicted model, not a curated record. NCBI's taxonomy places the organism in Eukaryota, Metazoa, Echinodermata, Echinoidea, Camarodonta, Strongylocentrotidae. The transcript has 4 exons.